This 253-nucleotide ribosomal RNA is filed under the name uncultured bacterium. RNAcentral describes it as "partial 16S ribosomal RNA". It matches the Rfam family "Bacterial small subunit ribosomal RNA", at positions 524 to 776 of the family's 1533-position model. The record is from RNAcentral.
UACGGAGGGUGCAAGCGUUGUUCGGAAUUACUGGGCGUAAAGCGCAUGUAGGCGGUUAUUUAAGUUAAAUGUGAAAUCCCUGAGCUUAACUCAGGAAUUGCAUCUAAUACUGAAUAACUUGAGUACGAGAGAGGAAAGUGGAAUUCCCAGUGUAGAGGUGAAAUUCGUAGAUAUUGGGAAGAACACCAGAGGCGAAGGCGGCUUUCUGGAUCGAUACUGACGCUCAGAUGCGACAGCGUGGGGAGCAAACAGG